RNAcentral lists this ribosomal RNA (2904 nucleotides) under Streptococcus pneumoniae. Its description in RNAcentral is "bacterial LSU rRNA". It matches the Rfam family "Bacterial large subunit ribosomal RNA". The record is from RNAcentral. Lineage: Bacteria; Bacillati; Bacillota; Bacilli; Lactobacillales; Streptococcaceae. RNAcentral also lists the same sequence under 1 other name.
AGGUUAAGUUAAUAAGGGCGCACGGUGGAUGCCUUGGCACUAGGAGCCGACGAAGGACGUGACAAACGACGAUAUGCCUUGGGUAGCUGUAAGUAAGCGAUGAUCCAGGGAUUUCCGAAUGGGGGAACCCAACAGGUAAUACCUGUUACCUACAUCUGUUAAGGAUGUGAGGAGGAAGACGCAGUGAACUGAAACAUCUAAGUAGCUGCAGGAAGAGAAAGCAAAAGCGAUUGCCUUAGUAGCGGCGAGCGAAACGGCAGAAGGGCAAACCGAAGAGUUUACUCUUCGGGGUUGUAGGACUGCAAUGUGGACUCAAAGAUUAUAGAAGAAUGAUUUGGGAAGAUCAGCCAAAGAGAGUAAUAGCCUCGUAUUUAAAAUAGUCUUUGUACUUAGCAGUAUCCUGAGUACGGCGGGACACGUGAAAUCCCGUCGGAAUCUGGGAGGACCAUCUCCCAACCCUAAAUACUCCCUAGUGACCGAUAGUGAACCAGUACCGUGAGGGAAAGGUGAAAAGCACCCCGGGAGGGGAGUGAAAUAGAACCUGAAACCGUGUGCCUACAACAAGUUCGAGCCCGUUAAUGGGUGAGAGCGUGCCUUUUGUAGAAUGAACCGGCGAGUUACGUUAUGAUGCGAGGUUAAGUUGAAGAGACGGAGCCGUAGGGAAACCGAGUCUGAAUAGGGCGCCUUAGUAUCAUGACGUAGACCCGAAACCAUGUGACCUACCCAUGAGCAGGUUGAAGGUGCGGUAAGACGCACUGGAGGACCGAACCAGGGCACGUUGAAAAGUGCUUGGAUGACUUGUGGGUAGCGGAGAAAUUCCAAACGAACUUGGAGAUAGCUGGUUCUCUCCGAAAUAGCUUUAGGGCUAGCGUCGACAUUAGAGAUUCUUGGAGGUAGAGCACUGUUUGGGUGAGGGGUCCAUCCCGGAUUACCAAUCUCAGAUAAACUCCGAAUGCCAAUGAAUUAUGGUCGGCAGUCAGACUGCGAGUGCUAAGAUCCGUAGUCGAAAGGGAAACAGCCCAGACCACCAGCUAAGGUCCCAAAAUAAUUGUUAAGUGGAAAAGGAUGUGGGGUUGCACAGACAACUAGGAUGUUAGCUUAGAAGCAGCUAUUCAUUCAAAGAGUGCGUAAUAGCUCACUAGUCGAGUGACCCUGCGCCGAAAAUGUACCGGGGCUAAAACAAUUUACCGAAGCUGUGGAUACCUUUAUAGGUAUGGUAGGAGAGCGUUCUAUGUGUGAUGAAGGUAUACCGUGAGGAGUGCUGGAACGCAUAGAAGUGAGAAUGCCGGUAUGAGUAGCGAAAGACAGGUGAGAAUCCUGUCCACCGUAAGACUAAGGUUUCCAGGGGAAGGCUCGUCCGCCCUGGGUUAGUCGGGACCUAAGGAGAGACCGAAAGGUGUAUCCGAUGGACAACAGGUUGAUAUUCCUGUACUAGAGUAUGUAGUGAUGGAGGGACGCAGUAGGCUAACUAAAGCAGACGAUUGGAAGAGUCUGUCUAAGCAGUGAGGUGUGAAUUGAGUCAAAUGCUUAAUUCUAUAACAUUGAGCUGUGAUGGGGAGCGAAGUUUAGUAGCGAAGUUAGUGACGUCACACUGCCAAGAAAAGCUUCUAGCGUUUAAACAUACUCUACCCGUACCGCAAACCGACACAGGUAGUCGAGGCGAGUAGCCUCAGGUGAGCGAGAGAACUCUCGUUAAGGAACUCGGCAAAAUGACCCCGUAACUUCGGGAGAAGGGGUGCUGACUUUAAGUCAGCCGCAGUGAAUAGGCCCAAGCAACUGUUUAUCAAAAACACAGCUCUCUGCUAAAUCGUAAGAUGAUGUAUAGGGGGUGACGCCUGCCCGGUGCUGGAAGGUUAAGAGGAGUGCUUAGCGUAAGCGAAGGUAUGAAUUGAAGCCCCAGUAAACGGCGGCCGUAACUAUAACGGUCCUAAGGUAGCGAAAUUCCUUGUCGGGUAAGUUCCGACCCGCACGAAAGGCGUAAUGAUUUGGGCACUGUCUCAACGAGAGACUCGGUGAAAUUUUAGUACCUGUGAAGAUGCAGGUUACCCGCGACAGGACGGAAAGACCCCAUGGAGCUUUACUGCAGUUUGAUAUUGAGUGUCUGUACCACAUGUACAGGAUAGGUAGGAGUCUAAGAGAUCGGGACGCCAGUUUCGAAGGAGACGCUGUUGGGAUACUACCCUUGUGUUAUGGCCACUCUAACCCAGAUAGGUGAUCCCUAUCGGAGACAGUGUCUGACGGGCAGUUUGACUGGGGCGGUCGCCUCCUAAAAGGUAACGGAGGCGCCCAAAGGUUCCCUCAGAAUGGUUGGAAAUCAUUCGCAGAGUGUAAAGGUAUAAGGGAGCUUGACUGCGAGAGCUACAACUCGAGCAGGGACGAAAGUCGGGCUUAGUGAUCCGGUGGUUCCGUAUGGAAGGGCCAUCGCUCAACGGAUAAAAGCUACCCUGGGGAUAACAGGCUUAUCUCCCCCAAGAGUUCACAUCGACGGGGAGGUUUGGCACCUCGAUGUCGGCUCGUCGCAUCCUGGGGCUGUAGUCGGUCCCAAGGGUUGGGCUGUUCGCCCAUUAAAGCGGCACGCGAGCUGGGUUCAGAACGUCGUGAGACAGUUCGGUCCCUAUCCGUCGCGGGCGUAGGAAAUUUGAGAGGAUCUGCUCCUAGUACGAGAGGACCAGAGUGGACUUACCGCUGGUGUACCAGUUGUCUUGCCAAAGGCAUCGCUGGGUAGCUAUGUAGGGAAGGGAUAAACGCUGAAAGCAUCUAAGUGUGAAACCCACCUCAAGAUGAGAUUUCCCAUGAUUAUAUAUCAGUAAGAGCCCUGAGAGAUGAUCAGGUAGAUAGGUUAGAAGUGGAAGUGUGGCGACACAUGUAGCGGACUAAUACUAAUAGCUCGAGGACUUAUCCAAA